GCGCACGGGUGAGUAACGCGUAUGCAACCUACCUUAUACAGGGGAAUAGCCCGAAGAAAUUCGGAUUAAUGCUCCAUGGUUUAUCGAUAUGGCAUCGUAUUGAUAAUAAAGAUUUAUCGGUGUAAGAUGGGCAUGCGUAUCAUUAGCUAGUUGGUGUGGUAACGGCAUACCAAGGCAACGAUGAUUAGGGGUCCUGAGAGGAGAUCCCCCACACUGGUACUGAUACACGGACCAGACUCCUACGGGAGGCAGCAGUGAGGAAUAUUGGUCAAUGGAGGCAACUCUGAACCAGCCAUGCCGCGUGCUGAUGACGGUCCUAUGGAUUGUAAACUGCUUUCACUCGGAAGAAACCUCUCUACUAUCCGAGACUUCACGGUUAACGCGAAAAAGGAUCGGCUACUCCGUCCCACAAAACGCCGUAAACCGGAAGAACGCCGCGUUACUCGCAUUUUUCGAUAUGCUCCGCAAAGGGUUCGUAGGCGGCUUUGUAAGUCAGUGGUGAAAUUUCCUAGCUUAACUAGGACACUGCCAUUGAUACUGCAGAGCUUGAAUAAUAUGGAAGUAACUAGAAUAUGUAGUGUAGCGGUGAAAUGCUUAGAUAUUACAUGGAAUACCAAUUGCGAAGGCAGGUUACUACGUAUUUAUUGACGCUGAUGAACGAAAGCGUGGGGAGCGAACAGGAUUAGAUACCCUGGUAGUCCACGCCGUAAACGAUGGAUACUAGCUGUUCGGAUUUCGGUCUGAGUGGCUAAGCGAAAGUGAUAAGUAUCCCACCUGGGGAGUACGUUCGCAAGAAUGAAACUCAAAGGAAUUGACGGGGGCCCGCACAAGCGGUGGAGCAUGUGGUUUAAUUCGAUGAUACGCGAGGAACCUUACCAGGGCUUAAAUGUAGAUUGACAGAUUUGGAAACAGAUUUUUCUUCGGACAAUUUACAAGGUGCUGCAUGGUUGUCGUCAGCUCGUGCCGUGAGGUGUCAGGUUAAGUCCUAUAACGAGCGCAACCCCUAUUGUUAGUUACCAGCGCGUAGUGGCGGGGACUCUAGCAAGACUGCCGGUGCAAACCGUGAGGAAGGUGGGGAUGACGUCAAAUCAUCACGGCCCUUACGUCCUGGGCUACACACGUGCUACAAUGGCAAGUACAGAAAGCAGCUACCUGGUAACAGGAUGCGAAUCUCCAAAGCUUGUCUCAGUUCGGAUUGGAGUCUGCAACUCGACUCUAUGAAGCUGGAAUCGCUAGUAAUCGGAUAUCAGCCAUGAUCCGGUGAAUACGUUCCCGGGCCUUGUACACACCGCCCGUCAAGCCAUGGAAGCUGGGGGUACCUGAAGUCGGUGACCGCAAGGAGCUGCCUAGGGUAAAACUAGUAACUAGGGCUAAGUCGUAACAA
RNAcentral lists this ribosomal RNA (1384 nucleotides) under Myroides odoratimimus. RNAcentral describes it as "bacterial SSU rRNA". It matches the Rfam family "Bacterial small subunit ribosomal RNA". Lineage: Bacteria; Pseudomonadati; Bacteroidota; Flavobacteriia; Flavobacteriales; Flavobacteriaceae. The record is from RNAcentral.